This is a long non-coding RNA of Antechinus flavipes (yellow-footed antechinus), 1750 nucleotides long. RefSeq lists it as uncharacterized. NCBI's taxonomy places the organism in Eukaryota, Metazoa, Chordata, Mammalia, Dasyuromorphia, Dasyuridae. The transcript is spliced from 3 exons. The record is from RefSeq and is a predicted model, not a curated record.
ACUGGGAUUCAGGGGCUCACUAUUUGGUUUCACUAGUUUCUUUGGAGGUCUCACAGCUACACUGCUGAUCCAUUGGCUACUGAAUCAGUACUGAGUAGCCAACCCUGCUGGAGUUUGUAGACAUUUGGCCUUUUCUACCUCUAAUCAAGAAGGAAAGAAAACAGCCUCCACAUAGAAAAGGAGUUGAGUGGGAGAGGAGUUUUUACUGAAGUGGACAAAAAUUGUAUUUGUAACAAGGAGUCGGAAGGACUGGGAAGAGGCAAAAUAUGUGGCAAUAAGAGGUUGUUACAUAUUUAAAGAACACAAGAAGCUAGGGCAGAAAGGAAUGAUGCAUCUCCAUAAUUAUUUUAAUAUCACAGCAAAACUAGGAUCCUAACUGGAAGAGAACUCAGAGUUCCUCUAGUCAAACCUCUUUAAUUUUAUAUAUGAAAAAAUUAAAGCCAGGAGAGGUUUGUUAUUUGGUUUAAGGUGACAAAGCUAGUAAGGGUCAGGUGUGGUAUCAAACUGAGUUAAGGAAAAAGCCUUUCUGAAAACCUUUUCAAUUAUAGUUAUGUAAAAUAAAACUCAAGCAAAACACUUCAAGUUUUAUGGCUGAAUAAUUUAAACAAGGUGUUAAUAUAAGAAAAAUGUAUACAAAGUUUAACAGUACAUAUUUCAAUAAUUUUUCAUAUUUCUCAAAUCUUCCUCAUUCUAGGUCUAAUUACAUCAUCUGUGAAAUAAUGAGUUUGAAGUAAAUAAUCUCUAGUACAACUUAGCUUUAAAUUCUCUGAUCUUAUAUAUAGAAAAAUCAUCAAAGACUUUUUUCCCAAGUGCCCCAUUAAUGUGGUAGAAGAAGUUAUGAAAUACAGUUGUAUGGAUUUAUUGAAUAGGGCUGUAGUAAAUAAAGAUAGGGGGAAUGAGAUCUCUUGCCCUUCAGACUAAACUUCUUUAUAUCAGAAAAACUCAGAAUAGAAUUUCUGAAAGAGAUUGUGUUUAUUAUUUUUUCCCAGCUCUUGGUAACUUCAGUGAAAUAUGAAAAAAAUUUUCUGGGCAGCUAGAGGUGGGUUUUUCUCAGUCAAGCAGGAAGGAUGAGUUACUGAGUUAUAGGGUAACCAGUUAUGGGCACAUAAAAGGAAAAAAAAAAGGAGGAAGAACACACAAAUAGAUUGUAAUCACUAUCUUUCCAUCUCCCAUCUCCUUGUUUGAUCACUUUCUAUAUAGCACAAAUCUUGAACUCCAGUCUUACAUUUAAGUUCAAGCUGAGUCUUCAUGACUCAUUAAGAUAAGAGGAAUUUUUCAAUGUUCACAACUUUUAUAACCACGGGUUUCUUUGCCAAGACUUUGUCUCAAUACUAUUGACAGUGUGCUGAUAAUGUGGAAGUUAAUGAUGAUCAGACAUUGAAGAGUGAACAUUCUGCUUGUGGAAGUUCUUCUGCUCAGGUUCCAGUCAACAGUUAUCAUGAGGAUCUUCCACCUGGUUUUCAUGGUGCUCUUUGUGAUCAUCUACAGUACUGACACAGGGUAUGGUAGCCUAACUGCAACUAAAGAAUGUAAAAAACUUAAAGGUAAAUGUAGGAAGAGAUGGUGCCUAUAUCCAGACUUAUCCUGGGGAACCUGUAAUUUUGGGUUGAAAACUUGUUGUGUGCCACAUGACAUUCUGAAACGGAAACCAAAACAUUGAACAUGGAAGGGUAAAAGUAUAGAAAAUGCAAGAAGUUAAAGUCCAUGGCAUAUUAAUUUUUUUAUGAAUAAAGAAAAAUUCAAUUGGAAA